UCAAGAUAGUAAGGGCGCACGGUGGAUGCCUUGGCGCCAGGAGCCGAUGAAGGGCGUGGACGGCUGCGAUAAGCCACGGGGAGCCGCUGCACAGGCGUUGAUCCGUGGAUUCCCGAAUGGGGCAACCCGACGCCGGUAAUACGGCGUCAUCUCGCUCUGAAUACAUAGGAGCGAGAGGGCAAGCGGGCGAACUGAAACAUCUCAGUAGCCCGAGGAAAGGAAAUCAACCGAGACUCCCCGAGUAGUGGCGAGCGAAAGGGGAUCAGCCUAAACCCGGCAGGUGUAAGCGGGCACGCGUUGCCUGCCGGGGGUCGUGGGACGGUCCUUCCGGGCGGUGCCCCGCCCGGCGGAAGUUACAAAAGCUGCAUCUAGCCGAAGACCCCUGGAACGGGGCACCACAGAGGGUAAGAGUCCCGUAGGCGAAAGGUGUAGCUCUUCCGUGGAUCGCUCCCGAGUAGGACCGGGCCCGUGAAACCCGGUUCGAAUCUGGGGGGACCACCCUCCAAGGCUAAGUACUCCCUGGCGACCGAUAGCGCACUAGUACCGUGAGGGAAAGGUGAAAAGAACCCCGGAAGGGGAGUGAAAUAGAACCUGAAACCGUGUGCCUACAAGCGGUCGGAGCGUCGCUAUGCGGCGUGACGGCGUGCUUUUUGCAUAACGAGCCGGCGAGUUAUCGUCACCGGCAAGGCUAAGCGAUGAGCGGAGCCGCAGCGAAAGCGAGUCCGAACAGGGCGUUCAGUCGGUGGCGAUAGACCCGAAACCGGGCGAUCUACCCAUGGGCAGGCUGAAGCGGGGGUAAGACCCCGUGGAGGGCCGAACCGACGUAGGUUGAAAACUGCGCGGAUGACCUGUGGGUAGGAGUGAAAGGCUAAUCAAGCUCGGAGAUAUCUGGUUCUCGCCGAAAUAUAUUUAGGUAUAGCCUCCGGUUAAUACCUGCUGGCCGUAGAGCACUGCUUGGCCUAGGGGCCCUACCAGGUUACCGACGUCAGGCAAACUCCGAAGACCAGCAGGCGUAUCCGGGGAGUCAGCCCAGGAGGGAUAAACUUCCUGGACGAGAGGGAAACAACCCAGACCGCCAGCUAAGGUCCCAAAGUGAUAGCUAAGUGGGAAACGAUGUCCGAGCGCUCAGACAACCAGGAGGUUGGCUUAGAGGCAGCCAUCCUUUAAAGAGUGCGUAACAGCUCACUGGUCAAGUGCUUGGGCGCGGAAAAUUCAACGGGGCUCAAGCUAUCCACCGAAGCUGCGGGUCCGCAGCGCUUCGGCGCUGCGGGCGGUAGGCGAGCGUUCCCGGGCCGGCGAAGCGGCGGCGGAAGCCAGCCGUGGAGGCUCGGGAAGUGAGAAUGCCGGCGUGAGUAACGAAAGAAGGGUGAGAAUCCCUUCCACCGAUUGUCCAAGGUUUCCUGAGCAACGGUCGUCGGCUCAGGGUUAGUCGGGACCUAAGGCGAGGCCGAAAGGCGUAGCCGAUGGGCAACGGGUUGAUAUUCCCGUACCACGUCGGGUCCGUGAUGACCGAUGGGGUGACGAGGAAGGCUAUGGGGACCCUGGCGACGGUUGACCAGGGGUAAGCGUGUACCUAGCGCUCUCAGGCAAAUCCGGGAGCGUGAUGAUGGGAGGCGCGAUGCCAGCUGGCCUACGGGCCGGCGAGCCCCGGACGCCAUGCCUCCGAGAAAAACCUCUAGGCAGGACCCACGUGCCCGUACCAAAACCGACACAGGUGGACAGGUAGAGAAUACCGAGGUGAGCGAGCUAACCCUCGUUAAGGAACUCGGCAAAUUGGCCCCGUAACUUCGGGAGAAGGGGCGCCCCGUUAGGGUGACGGUCCUUGCGACCCAAGCCCGAGGGGGCCGCAGUGAAUAGGCCCAGGCGACUGUUUAUCAAAAACACAGGUCUCUGCUAAGUCGAAAGACGACGUAUAGGGGCUGACGCCUGCCCGGUGCCGGAAGGUUACGCGGAGGGGUUAGCCGCCUUCGGGCGGCGAAGCUCCGAAGCUAAGCCCCGGUAAACGGCGGCGGUAACUAUAACCGUCCUAAGGUAGCGAAAUUCCUUGUCGGGUAAGUUCCGACCUGCACGAAUGGCGUAACGACCUGGGCGCUGUCUCAACGAGGGGCUCGGUGAAAUCGCAGUCUCGGUGAAGAUGCCGAGUACCCGCGGCUGGACGGAAAGACCCCGUGAACCUUUACUACAGCCUGAUAUUGGAGUCUGGGGCAUCGUGCUCAGGAUAGGUGGGAGGCUGUGAAGCGAGGGCUUCGGCCCUCGUGGAGCCGCCCUUGAGAUACCACCCUCGGUGUCCUGGGCUUCUAACCUCGACCCGUGAAUCCGGGCGAGGGACAGUGUCAGGUGGGUAGUUUGACUGGGGCGGUCGCCUCCUAAAGAGUAACGGAGGCGCGCAAAGGUCCCCUCAGCACGGUCGGAAAUCGUGCGUUGAGUGCAAAGGCAUCAAGGGGGCUUGACUGCGAGACUGACAAGUCGAGCAGGUGCGAAAGCAGGCCUUAGUGAUCCGGCGGUUGCAAGUGGAAGCGCCGUCGCUCAACGGAUAAAAGGUACUCCGGGGAUAACAGGCUUAUCGGGCCCAAGAGUCCACAUCGACGGCCCGGUUUGGCACCUCGAUGUCGGCUCGUCGCAUCCUGGGGCUGAAGUCGGUCCCAAGGGUUGGGCUGUUCGCCCAUUAAAGCGGCACGCGAGCUGGGUUCAGAACGUCGUGAGACAGUUCGGUCCCUAUCCGCCGCGGGCGUUGGAGAGCUGAGGGGAGUCGUCCCUAGUACGAGAGGACCGGGAUGAACGGACCUCUGGUGUACCUGUUGUCCCGCCAGGGGCACCGCAGGAUAGCCACGUCCGGAUGGGAUAACCGCUGAAAGCAUCUAAGCGGGAAGCCCACCCCAAGAUGAGCUCUCCCAUCCCCUCGAGGGAGUAAGGGCCCUGGGAGAACACCAGGUGAUAGGCCGGCGGUGUAAGCGCGGUAACGCGUUCAGCUGACCGGUACUAAUUGCCCGAGGGCUUGACGG
This 3002-nucleotide ribosomal RNA is filed under the name nitrifying bacterium enrichment culture. RNAcentral's name for it is "bacterial LSU rRNA". It matches the Rfam family "Bacterial large subunit ribosomal RNA". The record is from RNAcentral.